AAAGUGGCAACGGCGGCCUCACUGGGCUCACCUUCAGGGGCAGCUGCUGCACUGCCUCGGCUGUGCUGCUGCAUGGCUAUGGUGGAGGGAACAAUCUUUUACCACUCGGGGGUGCCGUCCUGCCUGAUGGGUGAUGGAGAAACCCAGGGAAUGCAGGAGCCGCCCACGGGCCGGGCCAGGGUGAUUCCUCUCUAAUCAGUUCCCCGCCUUAUUGUUUCCCUGAAACUCGGGACCUUGGGGGCCUCCUCCAGAAGGCACUGGACAGUUGCUAGAGUUGCUGUUCCUCCUCUUGUGCUUUCUUUUCUGAGAGAUGCUGCCUGUAAUUAUUGACUUGCAUCCCAGCCCUCUCCCUCCACCUGAGGAAGUCGUUGAUUCCUGCGAAUGCAGGAGUCAGAGGGAGAAAAAUGGUAUGUUCUCAGAGCUCCAGCCAGCAGCUGAAGCCAGUGAGGCUGCCCAUCGCUGCAGCCCCUGCUCAGAUCCUCCCUCGAUUGCCUCAAGCUUGGGGGAUGGGCAGGGGGAUGGCCCUUCAGUGAUUGGCUCUGGAAGGCCUGUCUCCUCAGGCCUCUUUCUUCCCAGUUACUGACCAGUCUACCCCCCAGCCUCGAGCGCACUGAGGCAUUGUGGGCAGCCAGGCAGUUGGUUUGUUCAGACUUUUGGACUCAGGUUUCUGUUUCCUUGUCUGUGAAAUAAGAGGUUGGACCAGAUGAGUUCUUAGUUCUAUGAUUCCACGAAUGUCUUAGAAAGCAAAAUGCACAGAGCCAAAUUUCCUUUGCCAUGCCGAACGCCGGGGCAGCGGAGCCAGCAGUGUCGAUGCUGUAAAGCCCCAAGGAGAGUUCUAGACGGAAGGGCGCUGCUGUGUCCUGGUAAUGAUGUCAGGUGACUCAGACAGGUCUGGGACUCGAGAAGCUGGCUGUCUUGUCUGAACCUCCUUUGAAGUGGUGGUUUGCAACACUUUUACGAACUGGAGGUUGAACGAGAACAUGAAAGUCAUCUCAUUGGUAUGUUGUAUUUUCCCAAACACUCCAUUUCAAAUCAAAACAUGGAAACAACUGUCUUAUUUUAGGAUUAUGCUUUGUAUUUGAACAUGCUGCUUACCAUCUAUUAGCUGACGGGGCUCUGGGACGCUCAGAGAACGAGUGACUGAGGUUUCCAGUCCUAAGGAGGUUGCUUUCAGCUCAGUCCAGGGAAGGAGAUUUUAACAAGCUGAGCUGGCCUUUUGAGGUGAGGAAUUGCCCGUCAAAGAAAAGCUCAGUGCUUACCCUCCCAACUCCCCGAGGCUCUCCUGCCCCCGAGUCAGGGAGACCCCUCC
This 1309-nucleotide long non-coding RNA is filed under the name Equus caballus (horse). RNAcentral's name for it is "lncRNA (ENSECAG00000050365.1)". The record is from RNAcentral. Lineage: Eukaryota; Metazoa; Chordata; Mammalia; Perissodactyla; Equidae.